This is a long non-coding RNA of Dama dama (fallow deer), 377 nucleotides long. RefSeq lists it as uncharacterized. The transcript has 3 exons. The record is from RefSeq and is a predicted model, not a curated record. Lineage: Eukaryota; Metazoa; Chordata; Mammalia; Artiodactyla; Cervidae.
GGAGAACGCCAGAAGUGGACCCCGAAGCGGCUCCCCAGCCAAAGGGGAGAAUGUAAGGGAAUGUUCCAGGCACUCCCAGCGCAGCCUAACCCUCGACUGCCGGAGUGGUUCAUCUCCGCCGGAAGUCCAAAAUGAGUUGCACUAAAUCAAAAUCAUGGUGUUGGCAGGAUCACAUUCCCUCUGAAGCUCCAGGAACAAGGUUACAGGGAUUAGUACCUAGACAUAUCUUUGGGAGUGAGCCAUCAUCAACCUACCACACCCAUCAACCUCGAAGAAAUGCAAAUUGAGACAGCAGAGAGAGACCAUUUAUCAUCUAUCAGUUGGCAAAGGUAGAAAAGAAGAACAACAUCCAGCUUUGGCCCCAGUGCUGAGAAACA